UACGUAGGGUGCAAGCGUUGUCCGGAAUUAUUGGGCGUAAAGGGCUCGUAGGCGGUCCGUCACGUCGGGAGUGAAAUCCUGGGGCUUAACCCCAGAACUGCUUCCGAUACGGGCAGACUAGAGGUAGGUAGGGGAGAAUGGAAUUCCUGGUGUAGCGGUGGAAUGCGCAGAUAUCAGGAGGAACACCAGUGGCGAAGGCGGUUCUCUGGGCCUUACCUGACGCUGAGGGGCGAAAGCGUGGGGAGCAAACAGG
RNAcentral lists this ribosomal RNA (253 nucleotides) under uncultured bacterium. RNAcentral describes it as "partial 16S ribosomal RNA". It matches the Rfam family "Bacterial small subunit ribosomal RNA", at positions 524 to 776 of the family's 1533-position model. The record is from RNAcentral.